This 253-nucleotide ribosomal RNA is filed under the name uncultured bacterium. RNAcentral's name for it is "partial 16S ribosomal RNA". It matches the Rfam family "Bacterial small subunit ribosomal RNA", at positions 524 to 776 of the family's 1533-position model. The record is from RNAcentral.
UACGUAGGGGGCUAGCGUUGUCCGGAAUCAUUGGGCGUAAAGAGCGUGUAGGCUGCUCGGUAAGUCCGCUGUAAAAGUCAAAGGCUCAACCUUUGAAUGUCAGUGGAUACUGCCGGGCUAGAGUCCGGAAGAGGCGAGUGGAACUCCUGGUGUAGCGGUGGAAUGCGCAGAUAUCAGGAGGAACACCGAUGGCGAAGGCAGGUCUCUGGGCAUUAACUGACGCUGAGGAGCGAAAGCAUGGGGAGCGAACAGG